GCCAGACUCCUACGGGAGGCAGCAGUGGGGAAUAUUGCACAAUGGGGGAAACCCUGAUGCAGCGACGCCGCGUGAGUGAAGAAGUAUUUCGGUAUGUAAAGCUCUAUCAGCAGGGAAGAAAUACUGACCUUACGGUCAGCAGACGGUACCUGACUAAGAAGCCCCGGCUAACUACGUGCCAGCAGCCGCGGUAAUACGUAGGGGGCAAGCGUUAUCCGGAUUUACUGGGUGUAAAGGGAGCGUAGACGGCGAAGCAAGUCUGAAGUGAAAACCCAGGGCUCAACCCUGGGACUGCUUUGGAAACUGUUUUGCUAGAGUGUCGGAGAGGUAAGUGGAAUUCCUAGUGUAGCGGUGAAAUGCGUAGAUAUUAGGAGGAACACCAGUGGCGAAGGCGGCUUACUGGACGAUAACUGACGUUGAGGCUCGAAAGCGUGGGGAGCAAACAGGAUUAGAUACCCCUGUA
This 463-nucleotide ribosomal RNA is filed under the name uncultured bacterium. RNAcentral describes it as "bacterial SSU rRNA". It matches the Rfam family "Bacterial small subunit ribosomal RNA", at positions 330 to 792 of the family's 1533-position model. The record is from RNAcentral.